Molecule: ribosomal RNA, 393 nt
Filed under: uncultured bacterium
Lineage: Bacteria
Description: bacterial SSU rRNA
Rfam family: Bacterial small subunit ribosomal RNA
Source: RNAcentral
GUGUCAGCAGCCGCGGUAAUACGAAGGGGGCUAGCGUUGUUCGGAAUCACUGGGCGUAAAGCGUACGUAGGCGGGCAAUUAAGUCAGGGGUGAAAGCCUUGAGCUCAACUCAAGAACUGCCUUUGAUACUGGUUGCCUGGAGUCCGGGAGAGGUGAGUGGAACUGCUAGUGUAGAGGUGAAAUUCGUAGAUAUUAGCAAGAACACCAGUGGCGAAGGCGGCUCACUGGCCCGGUACUGACGCUGAGGUACGAAAGCGUGGGGAGCAAACAGGAUUAGAUACCCUGGUAGUCCACGCCGUAAACGAUGGAAGCCAGCCGUUGGCCAGCAUGCUGGUCGGUGGCGCAGCUAACGCAUUAAGCUUCCCGCCUGGGGAGUACGGUCGCAAGAUUAAA